UAAUUUGUCUGAGGCAGAUCCUCAUCUAGUUAUGGUAGACCAACACUCGACUGUUUAGAAUCACCCAUGAGAACUACUGUGUGAACAAUAACUUUUUAAAAC
Populus trichocarpa (black cottonwood) is the source of this 102-nucleotide non-coding RNA. The record is from Rfam. Lineage: Eukaryota; Viridiplantae; Streptophyta; Magnoliopsida; Malpighiales; Salicaceae.